GCUGACAUGGACAUAUUCACUGGAGAGGCCAUCGAUGUUGUCAUCGGAUCCUCAAGAGAUGACGGAAAGGUGUAUGCUGGAUCCGGGCAAUGAAUAGAAAAGGCUGCUUGGGGGACAUUGUUGCGGUCUACGUCUAUGUUCUGCCGUAUGGCGUCCACAACGUAUUGGAUGCCAGAUGAGCUUAAGAACAGAAGCGUGACCGGGACUUUGUCCAACAAGUCGCGAUCCAAGGGAAGGACUGAGGCCAGACCAGCCGUGACACCACAAAAGUUGUCAUCCUUGAAAAGCCUCCUCCGGAUCUUCAUAGGCAACCGUGUCAUGCCGGAAGACGAGAAAAAAAAAGAUUGAAAGAAGUGCGCAGGCAAUUGGUGCAGAAACUCGCUGACGCGCCAAGAAGGUAGUGCUACUGGUACUGAUUGCUACGGGGCUUGUCCCAAAAGUUUGUGCACUGAGCCAGCAAAAACGCGGCAGAGAAUGUAGUGACAUGAACUGCUCAAACUUCUGGGACAGACUUUGUAUAUUUACCUUACCAGCUUAGCAC
Molecule: long non-coding RNA, 541 nt
Organism: Dermacentor silvarum
Lineage: Eukaryota; Metazoa; Arthropoda; Arachnida; Ixodida; Ixodidae
Exons: 3
Source: RefSeq, a predicted model, not a curated record